GUGGGUGUGGCCCAGUGGUAGAGCACCUGCCUCGCACGUGAGAGGCACUGAGUUCGAUUCUCAGCACCACA
Molecule: transfer RNA, 71 nt
Filed under: Ictidomys tridecemlineatus (thirteen-lined ground squirrel)
Lineage: Eukaryota; Metazoa; Chordata; Mammalia; Rodentia; Sciuridae
Description: Spermophilus tridecemlineatus (thirteen-lined ground squirrel) tRNA
Rfam family: tRNA
About the family: Transfer RNA (tRNA) molecules are approximately 80 nucleotides in length.
Source: Rfam by way of RNAcentral